This 402-nucleotide ribosomal RNA is filed under the name uncultured prokaryote. Its description in RNAcentral is "bacterial SSU rRNA". It matches the Rfam family "Bacterial small subunit ribosomal RNA", at positions 355 to 774 of the family's 1533-position model. The record is from RNAcentral.
UAGGGAAUAUUAGAAAUGGACGAAAGUCUGAUCUAGCAACACCGCGUGUGCGAAGAAGGCCUUCGGGUCGUAAAGCACUUUUUGGAAGGAAUAGGAAGGAAUGUACUUCCAGAAUAAGUCUCGGCUAACUACGUGCCAGCAGCCGCGGUAACACGUAGGAGGCGAACGUUAUCCGGAUUUACUGGGCGUAAAGCGCGUGUAGGUGGUUCUGUAAGUAGGGCGUGAAAGCUCCUGGCUCAACUGGGAGAGGCCGUUCUAAACUACAGAACUAGAGGGUGGUAGAGUGAAGUGGAAUUCCAGGUGUAGCGGUGGAAUGCGCAGAUAUCUGGAGGAACACCAGUGGCGAAGGCGGCCUCCUGGACCACUCCUGACACUCAUACGCGAAAGCUAGGGUAGCAAACG